This 301-nucleotide ribosomal RNA is filed under the name uncultured bacterium. RNAcentral describes it as "partial 16S ribosomal RNA". It matches the Rfam family "Bacterial small subunit ribosomal RNA", at positions 509 to 807 of the family's 1533-position model. The record is from RNAcentral.
CAGUAGCCGCGGGAAAACGGAGGGUGCAAGCGUUAAUCGGAAUUACUGGGCGUAAAGCGCACGCAGGCGGUCUGACAAGUCAGAUGUGAAAUCCCCGGGCUUAACCUGGGAACUGCAUUUGAAACUGGCAGGCUAGAGUCUUGUAGAGGGGGGUAGAAUUCCAGGUGUAGCGGUGAAAUGCGUAGAGAUCUGGAGGAAUACCGGUGGCGAAGGCGGCCCCCUGGACAAAGACUGACGCUCAGGUGCGAAAGCGUGGGGAGCAAACAGGAUUAGAUACCCCAGUAGUCCCUGUCUCUUAUAC